Molecule: transfer RNA, 73 nt
Filed under: Candidatus Bathyarchaeota archaeon
Lineage: Archaea; Thermoproteati; Candidatus Bathyarchaeota
Description: tRNA-Arg
Source: RNAcentral
GGGUUUGCGGACCAGCUGGGAUGAAGAGUUUCUGACCCGUAGGUCGCCGGUUCAAAUCCGGUCGGCCCCACCA